GUGAGGGGAGGGGUGGGCUCGCACCUGCACUUGGCAGGCUGCAGGGGGUGCUGCUCGCUGGCCCGGCCUGAGGCCUUCCCGGCUCUCUCCCGCCCCUCCUGUCCUGGAGCCCAGCAAGCCGCACCCCCGCCUCCACCACCUCGGCCCCCCUUUCUGGGGCACUCACGUCUCUAUCGGCCAGAUCUCCCCUAUCUUUCCAGGCCCACGCCUCUCCCACCUGACGCCCACAAACCCUGCGGUCAGACCCUCUUCAAGGACCCCCUACAGCUGCCCCUCUCUCAGGGUCCUUCGGGUGAUCAUGUAGUCACUGCAGCUCCACAUCCCGUACGCCCGGGAUCGCACCCAGCAAGUCCUUGCUGGGGCGUCCAUGAGUGUCCCCACCCCGCCGCCCCGCCACUGGGCGCCCGGGACUCGGCUCAGACGCGCGGAGGGAAGGCAGGGCGGCUGCAGAGAGCAGAGCCGAGGAGGAACCGAAAGGCUCAGAAACGCGGUGUGACCAGCGCCCUCCUGGACAAACCUCCCCGGGCCCCGCGUCAUCGCCGCGGCCACGCGCAGCGCCGCGGGUCGCCGCCCCUCCCAGACCUCCGCGCCCGGAGCUCAGGCUCCGUCCUCUUCCCCAAGGAGCUACUAAUCACGCCCCAAGGACGUUGGCCCCCGGGGAAGGGGAGGACCCCAGGCCUGCGCCCGGCUGCGGGGAGGCGCCCCGCCCUCCCCCCUCCUCCUCGCCCCUCUCAGUUUCUCUCCCUUUUCUUCUCCUCUUCACUCAGCCCUUUUUCCUCUCCACACCCAGUCCCUUGUCCCCUCUUCGCUCACUCCACCCCACUUUCCUUCUUCCCUCCCCAGUGGGUACCUCUCCCCCUUUCCUCUCCCCUACAACCUCCCCUCUCCACUCCCCACCGUCCCUCUCGCCUCCCCGGUCCCCCCUGCCCCGCCUCCCCAUUCGGGUCACCCUGUCCCAGUCCCACUCUUCCCCCCUCUUCCGCCCCUCCCUCCCUCUCCUCUCCCCUCUCCCGCCCAGCGCCGUCCUCCCCACUCCUCCGCACCCCGCCAGUCCCCUCGUCCCCGCCCCGCCGUCUCCUGGCGCCGGCGUAA
RNAcentral lists this long non-coding RNA (1092 nucleotides) under Papio anubis (olive baboon). Its description in RNAcentral is "lncRNA (ENSPANG00000042550.1)". Lineage: Eukaryota; Metazoa; Chordata; Mammalia; Primates; Cercopithecidae. The record is from RNAcentral.